This 1871-nucleotide unclassified non-coding RNA is filed under the name uncultured fungus. Its description in RNAcentral is "sequence contains 18S rRNA gene, ITS1, 5.8S rRNA gene, ITS2, 28S rRNA gene". The stretch from base 748 to 1871 matches the Rfam family "Eukaryotic large subunit ribosomal RNA", at positions 1 to 961 of the family's 3401-position model. The record is from RNAcentral. Lineage: Eukaryota; Fungi.
GGAAGGAUCAUUAACACUCAAAGUGUUACAAUUACACCAUCAUUAUUGAACUCUCAACCCAAACUACGUCCGAAGCUGGGUGUGUGGUGAUAUGUCAUGUAUCACCUCCUCCUCCCAACUUUGUUGACCCCAAUCCAAUUUUUUACACCUCAAUUUCUAUAAAAUUCCAUUUUAUACAUUACAAACCAAUUUUUAAACCUUUUUUUGUUGCUUAAAACACAACAAAAAAAACUAAAAAAAUUAAAGGACAACUUUUGGCAGUGGAUAUCUUGGCUCUUGCAUCGAUGAAGAACGCAGCAAAAUGCGAUAACUAAUGUGAAUCGCAGAAUCCUGUGAAUCAUCAAAACUUUGAACGCACCUUGCAGUCACGCUCGUCGUGACUAUGUCUGUUUGAGAAUUGGUAUUAUCUCUCAACUCAUUUAGAGUUGGAUGCUGAGACUGAGUGUUCGGAAAAGUUUACUCUUUUUCAAACUCUUUCUUUAAUAGCCCAAUUUAAAAAACCGACUCGGAAAUAUCUGACAAUGAAUCAAUUUCUCAUCUGCAUACCAAACGCGGAGGAAGUUCAAUUCAAGUUUAUCUUUCUGGGUUCCAAUGCCUAUAUUACAAUAUAAGCAUUUGGAAAUAAAAAAACCAAAUUGAUGAACGGAACUGAUCCUGCGGCGAUUUGAAAUCUCAUUCGAAAACUUUUCUGUAGUCAACCUUUUAGAUUAACAAAUACCUUUGCAGAAAUGAAUAAUUUCUCACCAUUGAUCUCAAAUCAGGCAAGAGUACCCGCUGAACUUAAGCAUAUUACUAAGCGGAGGAAAAGAAACUAACUAGGAUUCCCUCAGUAACAGCGAGUGAACAGGGAAAAGCUCAAAGUUAAAAUCGGCGCAAGCCGAGUUGUACUUUGUAGAAAUGGUUCCUGGAGAGCGCCGGGUAUAAGUUCGUCUCAGAAUGCGGCAUCAAAGAGGGUGAAAUUCCCGUAUUUGAUCCGGAAAGUCUCUCCAAUACGGGCCGUUUUCGAAGAGUCAGGCUGUUUGGGAUUGCAGCCCUAAGUGGGUGGUAAGAUUCAUCUAAGGCUAAAUAUUUGCAAGAGACCGAUAGCGAACAAGUACCGUGAGGGAAAGAUGAAAAGAACUUUGAAAAGAGAGUGAUAAUAGUCCUUGAAACUGCCAAAGGGACAAGCGUUAGGAACUGUCGUUGCGACUGGGAACUGGUUUUCAAGUUUCACUGCUGGGAGUAUAGGAGCCUCAAAACCCUUGCUCUUAGAUUUGAUGGGACUUGAAGGCUAUCUGUUCUCAGCCGCCGGUCAACCACACUUUACGGCUUCUCCAUAGAACUUGGGAUGUGAUUGCCUUUGUUCAGAAGAGAAAUGCCAUGAGUGCGAUCCGGCCCUUCCGGGGCAAUUUUUCGGACUGACGGGACAGAACAUGUUGGGCCAGGUGCUGGGAUGAGGGAUGGUUCUACUUUUGUAGGGCCGCUUUCCCCCGGUGUUUCGGCUUGGUGUGCUCUGCCUGUUGGAGGUUGACUCCCAUAUGGUUUCUAACGUCCCGUCUUGAAACACGGACCAAGGAGUCUAGCAUAUAUGCGAGUAUUCGGGUGGUAAACCCAUGAAUGCGCAACGAAAGUGAAGGGGCUCUUACGAGCUCUGAGGUAGGAAUCCAUGGGUUCGUCCUGUGGAGGCACUAUCGACCGAUCUGGAUGUUUUUUGAAGGAUUCGAGUUAGAGCAUAUCUGCUAGGACCCGAAAGACGGUGAACUAUGCCUGUAUAGGGUAAAGCCAGAGGAAACUCUGGUGGAAGCUCGUAGCGAUACUGACGUGCAAAUCGUUCGUCAAAUAUGGGUAUAGGGGCGAAAGACUAAUCGAACAGUCUAGUAGCUGGUUCCCUC